GCUGGGUGUGGUGGCGCACACCUGUAAUCCCAGCUACUCAGGAGGCUGAGGCAGAAGAAUUGCUUGGACCCAGGAGGCAGAGGUUGCAGUGAGCCAAUAUCAUGCCACUGCACUCCAGCCUGAGUGACAGAGCAAGACUCCAUCUCAA
Molecule: small RNA, 148 nt
Filed under: Callithrix jacchus (white-tufted-ear marmoset)
Lineage: Eukaryota; Metazoa; Chordata; Mammalia; Primates; Cebidae
Description: Metazoan signal recognition particle RNA (ENSCJAG00000079052.1)
Source: Rfam by way of RNAcentral